UGGGGAAUAUUGCACAAUGGGCGAAAGCCUGAUGCAGCAACGCCGCGUGAGGGACGACGGCCUUCGGGUUGUAAACCUCUUUUAGCAAGGAAGAAGCGAAAGUGACGGUACUUGCAGAAAAAGCGCCGGCUAACUACGUGCCAGCAGCCGCGGUAAUACGUAGGGCGCAAGCGUUAUCCGGAAUUAUUGGGCGUAAAGAGCUCGUAGGCGGUUUGUCGCGUCUGCUGUGAAAACCCGAGGCUCAACCUCGGGCCUGCAGUGGGUACGGGCAGACUAGAGUGCGGUAGGGGAGAUUGGAACUCCUGGUGUAGCGGUGGAAUGCGCAGAUAUCAGGAAGAACACCGAUGGCGAAGGCAGAUCUCUGGGCCGUAACUGACGCUGAGGAGCGAAAAGGGUGGGGAGCAAACAGGCUUAGAUACCCUGGUAGUCCACCCCGUAAACGUUGGGAACUAGUUGUGGGGUCCAUUCCACGGAUUCCGUGACGCAGCUAACGCAUUAAGUUCCCCGCCUGGGGAGUACGGCCGCAAGGCUAAAACUCAAAUGAAUUGACGGGGUCAU
RNAcentral lists this ribosomal RNA (558 nucleotides) under uncultured bacterium. RNAcentral's name for it is "partial 16S ribosomal RNA". It matches the Rfam family "Bacterial small subunit ribosomal RNA", at positions 355 to 922 of the family's 1533-position model. The record is from RNAcentral.